AAACUGAAGAGUUUGAUCAUGGCUCAGAUUGAACGCUGGCGGCAGGCUUAACACAUGCAAGUCGAACGAUGACUAACUAGCUUGCUAGUUAUGAUUAGUGGCGGACGGGUGAGUAACAUUUAGGAAUCUGCCUAGUAGUGGGGGAUAGCUCGGGGAAACUCGAAUUAAUACCGCAUACGACCUACGGGUGAAAGGGGGCGCAAGCUCUUGCUAUUAGAUGAGCCUAAAUCAGAUUAGCUAGUUGGUGGGGUAAAGGCCCACCAAGGCGACGAUCUGUAACUGGUCUGAGAGGAUGAUCAGUCACACCGGAACUGAGACACGGUCCGGACUCCUACGGGAGGCAGCAGUGGGGAAUAUUGGACAAUGGGGCAACCCUGAUCCAGCCAUGCCGCGUGUGUGAAGAAGGCCUUUUGGUUGUAAAGCACUUUAAGCAGGGAGGAGAGGCUAAUGGUUAAUACCCAUUAGAUUAGACGUUACCUGCAGAAUAAGCACCGGCUAACUCUGUGCCAGCAGCCGCGGUAAUACAGAGGGUGCGAGCGUUAAUCGGAAUUACUGGGCGUAAAGCGAGUGUAGGUGGCUCAUUAAGUCACAUGUGAAAUCCCCGGGCUUAACCUGGGAACUGCAUGUGAUACUGGUGGUGCUAGAAUAUGUGAGAGGGAAGUAGAAUUCCAGGUGUAGCGGUGAAAUGCGUAGAGAUCUGGAGGAAUACCGAUGGCGAAGGCAGCUUCCUGGCAUAAUAUUGACACUGAGAUUCGAAAGCGUGGGUAGCAAACAGGAUUAGAUACCCUGGUAGUCCACGCCGUAAACGAUGUCUACUAGCCGUUGGGGUCCUUGAGACUUUAGUGGCGCAGUUAACGCGAUAAGUAGACCGCCUGGGGAGUACGGCCGCAAGGUUAAAACUCAAAUGAAUUGACGGGGCCCGCACAAGCGGUGGAGCAUGUGGUUUAAUUCGAUGCAACGCGAAGAACCUUACCUGGUCUUGACAUAGUGAGAAUCCUGCAGAGAUGCGGGAGUGCCUUCGGGAAUUCACAUACAGGUGCUGCAUGGCUGUCGUCAGCUCGUGUCGUGAGAUGUUGGGUUAAGUCCCGCAACGAGCGCAACCCUUUUCCUUAUUUGCCAGCGGGUUAAGCCGGGAACUUUAAGGAUACUGCCAGUGACAAACUGGAGGAAGGCGGGGACGACGUCAAGUCAUCAUGGCCCUUACGACCAGGGCUACACACGUGCUACAAUGGUAGGUACAGAGGGUUGCUACACAGCGAUGUGAUGCUAAUCUCAAAAAGCCUAUCGUAGUCCGGAUUGGAGUCUGCAACUCGACUCCAUGAAGUCGGAAUCGCUAGUAAUCGCAGAUCAGAAUGCUGCGGUGAAUACGUUCCCGGGCCUUGUACACACCGCCCGUCACACCAUGGGAGUCUAUUGCACCAGAAGUAGGUAGCCUAACGUAAGAGGGCGCUUACCACGGUGUGGUCGAUGACUGGGGUGAAGUCGUAACAAGGUAGCCGUAGGGGAACCUGCGGCUGGAUCACCUCCUUA
Molecule: ribosomal RNA, 1530 nt
Filed under: Faucicola osloensis
Lineage: Bacteria; Pseudomonadati; Pseudomonadota; Gammaproteobacteria; Moraxellales; Moraxellaceae
Description: bacterial SSU rRNA
Rfam family: Bacterial small subunit ribosomal RNA
Source: RNAcentral